GCGGGCGUGGCGAAACUGGUAGACGCAAGGGACUUAAAAUCCCUCGGCCUUGGCUGUACGGGUUCGAGCCCCGUCGCCCGCACCA
RNAcentral lists this transfer RNA (85 nucleotides) under Rhizobium leguminosarum. RNAcentral describes it as "tRNA-Leu". It matches the Rfam family "tRNA". Rfam says of the family: Transfer RNA (tRNA) molecules are approximately 80 nucleotides in length. Their secondary structure includes four short double-helical elements and three loops (D, anti-codon, and T loops). Lineage: Bacteria; Pseudomonadati; Pseudomonadota; Alphaproteobacteria; Hyphomicrobiales; Rhizobiaceae. The record is from RNAcentral. RNAcentral also lists the same sequence under 10 other names.